GGCGGAUGUACCAAAGUGGAUCAAGGCAGUGGAG
RNAcentral lists this transfer RNA (34 nucleotides) under Curcuma zedoaria. RNAcentral describes it as "partial tRNA-His". The record is from RNAcentral. Lineage: Eukaryota; Viridiplantae; Streptophyta; Magnoliopsida; Zingiberales; Zingiberaceae. RNAcentral also lists the same sequence under 1 other name.